Long non-coding RNA from Hordeum vulgare subsp. vulgare (domesticated barley), 152 nucleotides. RefSeq lists it as uncharacterized. The transcript is spliced from 3 exons. The record is from RefSeq and is a predicted model, not a curated record. Lineage: Eukaryota; Viridiplantae; Streptophyta; Magnoliopsida; Poales; Poaceae.
AGCUCCAACACCCCCACCCCCACCGCCUCCGUCAAGAUCCUCAACAUCAACUGGUUCCAGAAGGAGGCCAACGCCAACGACGAGGUUAGCAUGACGCUGAACAUCUCCGCCGACCUUUCGUCGCUCUUCACAUGGAACACGAAACAUGUAUU